AUAUGCAUGUCGGUUGUCGCUGGCCGCGCGCGCUCGCCGCUUGUUACUUGUUACCGAGCUGCGGAUCAUGCGAGCAGCGCGGCGCGACGCCAUCGCUGCCAAAGGGGGCAUUGCCCGAUAAUAAACGGUAACGGGCCUUUCGCCUUUUUACGAGAUAAGAGCAACAGUUUUCAUAAAUCCUGUUGGCUCCCCAGCAGGGUAAAAACACUCUCCCAUUGGUGGAUAUUCUUUAGGGGAGGCUUGAAUGAAGAAAUAUAUUCAUUGGGCGUCGCGACGCUCGAUAAUAGUCAUGCGCAUUAUGAGAAAAACAUGGAAGUUGCCCGUUGCCCGAGAAAAGCAAAGCAAAAGAAGGCACUAGUGCCCGUUGCGGUUCUUCGCCGCCAGCGCACGGGAAUCGUGUGGGUCGCUGCGAUCCGACUAACGGAACGACCGUUGUUUUUACCUUUUCUUUUACGCGCACCUACCGGCGCGAUGCAACUACAACCGAUGCUUUUCCAACUCUGAGGAAUCGCAAGUGCGCGACGAUGUUAUGUAAGAGGACGCGCCCAGAGUAUCAUCACCAGACACAUACAGACACACUAAAUGCGUAAGUGAGGACGCAGAGGUGAAGUGAAAAUGGUGGAUGAGCGUGAGUCAAACAGGAAGUUUUGUAACGGAGUAAUGCACUAAUGCACAAGUGCAGCAAACCAAGCAAAAGGGCCACAAAAACAAUCAUUUACUACCGAGUGUUUCCAUAAAACAUAAAAACAGAAAAAAUAAACACAAACCAAAAAAGACUAAAAAAUAAAAAUAAAAUACUUGGCUAAAUUUUUACAAGAAUUUUUGACCUAUUGAAACACUCGGUAUAUAAAUCAUAAACACCACGAAUUGUGCAUCCAUCCAUUAGUAAUGAAACCAACACGAGAGCAAAAAAAUAAAUAACAACCAGCCUAGAUAGAUAAAAACAGGAAGAGGCCGCGAGUAUCAUUUAUAAUAACAGUGCGCACGCGGUGAUCCAAACGUAAGAACGGUAGGAAGUUAAUUAAUUAAACUUUUAAUUAUACCAUUCACGUAAUCAGUAGAUACCAACCAACGUGCACGACAGCCAGCGAGAUAAAUCACUCACGGCGAGCGGGCAAAACAACUCCAUAGUUCUCAGCUUUUUUUUUUAUUUUCAAAAACUAAAAAUGUCUACAAUUACAACCAACAACAAUGCACUUUGCACUCAGAAAUAUGUUUUUCAUAUAUAAAAUUUAUGUGAAAUAAAAGCCGGCGUGAUUUACGAGCACAUCGCAUCCAUUGGUGAACGUUUCGUCGCGCAUCGAAAACUCCAAUAUGUGAGAGAGGUUCCGUGAGGUGAGAGAGGUGCCCGAGACCCAUUAGGAACUUAUUUAUGUAAUAAGUAAUAAUAAUGAGUGUUUUAUGGAUUCGAUAAUAAAUCGUUUGUUCCUUGGUCAUGCCAUUACCAUCACAUUCACAAUCCACAUGUAUUACAACGAUAUUUAAUAAA
Long non-coding RNA from Dalotia coriaria, 1489 nucleotides. RefSeq lists it as uncharacterized. The transcript has 2 exons. Lineage: Eukaryota; Metazoa; Arthropoda; Insecta; Coleoptera; Staphylinidae. The record is from RefSeq and is a predicted model, not a curated record.